AUUGAACGCUGGCGGAAUGCUUUACACAUGCAAGUCGAGCGGCAGCGCGGCCUUCGGGCUGGCGGCGAGCGGCGAACGGGUGAGUAAUGCAUCGGAACAUGCCCAGUCGUGGGGGAUAACACUUCGAAAGAAGUGCUAAUACCGCAUACGUCCUGAGGGGGAAAGCGGGGGAUCGCAAGACCUCGCGCGAUUGGAGUGGCCGAUGUCAGAUUAGCUAGUUGGUGGGGUAAAGGCCUACCAAGGCGACGAUCUGUAGCUGGUCUGAGAGGAUGAUCAGCCACACUGGGACUGAGACACGGCCCAGACGCCUACGGGAGGCAGCAGUGGGGAAUUUUGGACAAUGGGGGCAACCCUGAUCCAGCCAUUCCGCGUGAGUGAAGAAGGCCUUCGGGUGGUAAAGCUCUUUCGGCAGGAACGAAACGGUGGGCUCUAACAUAGUCCGCUAAUGACGGUACCUGAAGAAGAAGCACCGGCUAACUACGUG
RNAcentral lists this ribosomal RNA (484 nucleotides) under uncultured bacterium. RNAcentral's name for it is "partial 16S ribosomal RNA". It matches the Rfam family "Bacterial small subunit ribosomal RNA", at positions 29 to 507 of the family's 1533-position model. The record is from RNAcentral.